CCAGACUCCUACGGGAGCAGCAGUGGGGAAUAUUGCGCAAUGGGCGAAAGCCUGACGCAGCGACGCCGCGUGAGGGAUGAAGGUCUUCGGAUCGUAAACCUCUGUCAGCAGGGAAGAACGGUCACUGUGCUAAUCAGCAGUGAAUUGACGAUACCUGCAAAGGAAGCACCGGCUAACUCCGUGCCAGCAGCCGCGGUAAUACGUAGGUGGCAAGCGUUAUCCGGAUUUACUGGGUGUAAAGGGCGUGUAGGCGGGCUUGCAAGUCAGAUGUGAAAUUCCAGGGCUCAACCCUGGAACUGCAUUUGAAACUGUAGGUCUUGAGUGCUGGAGAGGCAAUCGGAAUUCCGUGUGUAGCGGUGAAAUGCGUAGAUAUACGGAGGAACACCAGUGGCGAAGGCGGAUUGCUGGACAGUAACUGACGCUGAGGCGCGAAAGCGUGGGGAGCAAACAGGAUUAGAUACCCGAGUA
RNAcentral lists this ribosomal RNA (468 nucleotides) under uncultured bacterium. RNAcentral describes it as "bacterial SSU rRNA". It matches the Rfam family "Bacterial small subunit ribosomal RNA", at positions 331 to 792 of the family's 1533-position model. The record is from RNAcentral.